Molecule: long non-coding RNA, 544 nt
Organism: Octopus sinensis (East Asian common octopus)
Lineage: Eukaryota; Metazoa; Mollusca; Cephalopoda; Octopoda; Octopodidae
Exons: 3
Source: RefSeq, a predicted model, not a curated record
GCAUAAAAAUGAAGAAGUGGAUUGUGUAGAGCCUUUAAAUUUUUGUCAAGACUUUGUUUUCAAAGUUAGAAGAGAGUUAGAGGACGUUGAAAGCAAAGAAAACUGCUCAGUGAAAUCCUAUGAACUUUCCGAACAGGCCUUUUUUGAUGAUAUUGUUUCAAUCGGAGAGAACGAUGAGGUCGUAAAAUCAUUAAACGACAAGCUUUGGGAAAUUGAAAGUCAAUUGACUGAUAAUAUCGAAUAUGAACAUUCUGAUUUGAUUAACCCCGAAGCUCGUGCUAUUUAUGAGCGAGUUAGACAGUUUUUAUCAAUAUAUCGUUCUGGUCCAAUUCCUAAGGCCUUCAAAGUACUUCCUUGUUUUUCUAACUGGCUUGAAAUACUAAAAAUUACUGAUCCAAAUGGGUGGACCGCCGCAGCUAUGUACGAAGCAACACGAAUUUUUGUGUCUCGUUUGUCUGUUGAUCAAGUACAGUCUUUCCUAUCAUUUGUUUUGCUACCUCGAAUUCGCGACGACAUCAAAUACUAUAAAAAGCUUAAUUUUCAU